AUUGAACGCUGGCGGCAUGCCUUACACAUGCAAGUCGAACGGCAGCACGGGAGCAAUCCUGGUGGCGAGUGGCGAACGGGUGAGUAAUAUAUCGGAACGUGCCCAGUCGUGGGGGAUAACGCAGCGAAAGCUGUGCUAAUACCGCAUACGAUCUACGGAUGAAAGCGGGGGAUCGCAAGACCUCGCGCGAUUGGAGCGGCCGAUAUCAGAUUAGCUAGUUGGUGGGGUAAAAGCCCACCAAGGCGACGAUCUGUAGCUGGUCUGAGAGGACGACCAGCCACACUGGAACUGAGACACGGUCCAGACUCCUACGGGAGGCAGCAGCGGGGAAUUUUGGACAAUGGGCGCAAGCCUGAUCCAGCAAUGCCGCGUGCAGGAUGAAGGCCUUCGGGUUGUAAACUGCUUUUGUACGGAACGAAACGGCUCUUUCUAAUAAAGAGGGCUAAUGACGGUACCGUAAGAAUAAGCACCGGCUAACUACGUGCCAGCCGCCGCCGUAA
RNAcentral lists this ribosomal RNA (500 nucleotides) under uncultured bacterium. RNAcentral's name for it is "partial 16S ribosomal RNA". It matches the Rfam family "Bacterial small subunit ribosomal RNA", at positions 30 to 523 of the family's 1533-position model. The record is from RNAcentral.